RNAcentral lists this long non-coding RNA (2412 nucleotides) under Cucumis sativus (cucumber). RNAcentral's name for it is "long non-coding RNA (CSAT_LNC002209)". Lineage: Eukaryota; Viridiplantae; Streptophyta; Magnoliopsida; Cucurbitales; Cucurbitaceae. The record is from RNAcentral.
GGCGAAAUGAUGAAACAAACUCAAUGUUUGGUAUAUAAAUUCAUUUAGCAGCUUUGACUAUUUCUUGUGGUUCAUUAUUCAUAUGGUGGAAGAAACUACAAUACUGACAGAGAAGAGGAGAAUUGACCAUGAAAAUUAAACAGCAAAGAAGAAGAAGAAGAAGAAGCUUUUUGAGGUUUGUUAAUGGCAGAAAAAUAAUUGAAUGAUGAUUUGAAUUUAGAGUUCUAAUUAUGUAUAUGUAUAUCAUAUAUGGUGCUCACUUCUCAUGAGUCUGUCACACUACUACUACUCUUGUAUUCAUAUGCAUGUUUUCAAACAUCAUUUUUGUAUUUGUAUUCAUAUUAUAUAUAUAUAUAUAUAUAUAUUUUAUUUGUAUCUUAUAGUUUUCUUCGAAAUGGACGGUACAAGUUUUGUGUAAGUUGAACUAUGUAUAUUCAUUUCGAUGUAUGUAUAUCUCUAGAAAGUUUUUCUGUUUGUAUCUACGAAAUUAUACUAAUUUUUUAAAAAUAAUUAACCUUAAAAAUAAGAAUAUCGUACCUACUAAUUAUUGUUUAAGCUAAGUUUAUUUUAACUAUUUGAAAAUGGAUCAAUGAGAUAUUGUUACACUUAGAAUAGCAUUUCGACUCAAACACACGCAAAUACAAGUUCAAACCAUAGGUAAGUAAUAUGUAAUUGUAAUAUAAAUCUUUAAAAUUAUGACAUGUUUUGAACUUUGUGUAUGGUUGUGUCUAUUUGAUUCAUCAAAAUUUAAAAUUCUAACAUGAAAUAUUAAUUUUUCUAAAAGAUCUCAAAUCUAUUUGGUAUAUAUAUUUAAAAAUUCACAUAUCUAAUAAACACAAGUGUUGAAAUCUAUUUUACAAUUUUAGAGUGCAAAAACCUAUUAGAUAUAAUACUAAUUUUUUCUGGGACUAAACUUCUAAUAUAAGGGAGAUAAUGUAUUAAAAAAAGUUGAACCAACCUAAAAUAACCUUGAUGUAAUAAUCAUAGUAGAGAAAACUUUGGACAAAUCAAAAUUAAUCUCUUAAUCUUAAGACUUGAGAGGGAUCUAUAGGGUUAUAGUGAUUUAAAAAAGAAAGCUCACAUUUGUUUGCUACAUAGUAAUAACAACAUCAAUUAUCCUAUAGUGUUCUUAAUAAUGACCUUUAUUUUAUAAUAUUUAAUCUUCUCUUUUAAGUGUAACAAAAGUUUUUAAAUAUGAACUAAUUCCAUAAUAUGCCAAAAUAAACAUAUAAGUCGAUUGACAUAAUAACUCUAAUUAUUUGAGCAUUAGUUUUAUUACACGUCAACUAAACAUUUACCUGUUAUAUCAUUUCUAACUAAGGAAUGACACAUUAUCAAAUUAUUUAUAAAAUCGAGUGACUAAGAAGGAUCAACAUAAACUAAAUUAUAUGGUAUUUCUUAAAAAUCCACCAUUCAUAGCUAAGUGGGUGGCAAGAAAAUAGUUGCCAUUUUUAUUAGAAUUCCUUAAUUUCAGGUUUGAAAACGAUGAACAUAAGAGUAGUAAUGCACAAGAAAAUUAUAUGGUGAAGGUAUUGUUUUUAAUCAUAAUCUUCAAAACUUGAGCAUACUAAUUUUUGGCUUUACUUUCCACCAAACAAUUAUUACCCAUCUAAAGACUGAAGAUCCAACAAUGAGUUCUAUGUGUUGACUCUAUGAGUCUAUCAUUUUCCUUUUUCAAUACAAAAUGGAUUAGGAGCAAUACAAAUUCUAUCAAAAUUAUCAAGAUUUUAGACUUGUGUUCCGUGGUCAUCUUUUUAGUAUUACACAUUUACAUCUUAUAAUCUAACAAAAUCAAAUCCCAUCCGAAGAUUUAUUAACUAAUGAUAACGUGAGUUUUUCAAAAUGUUCAUCUAUAUCAAUUAGAAGAUCAAUGUAUCUUUUCUCCUUCAAACAUUGGAAAUGACAAUCAGAUAGGGACAAAAAGCAUAAGAAGAGUUUUAAAAAAAUCAAUGAAAUAAAAUUUGAAUAAUUAAAAAAAGAGAGAGGGAGAGAGAAUGAGAGAGAGAGAAAAGGUGACCUCCAUGAGUGAUGAGAGAGAGGUUCAAAGAAAUGGUUCUAAUUCUUUGGAGUGAGUGAGAGUUUCUAAUUUAAUACAAACUGCAUUCAAACAUCACCCUAUAAAAAAAAAAAAACACUACGGAAAACCCCACUAAUUCCCAACUCAAAUUCUUUUCUUCAUUUCUUACCAUUAUCUCAAUUCUUCAAUUUUUCAUGUUUCUUCUUUUCUCUUUCUUGUCUAUUCACAUGCCAAUUUAGUGUCAAAGCUGCUUAGACAUAUAGCAAAAGCCUGGAAUGCAGACAGCGGGUAUCGAUAAUCCAUCGUGAACAUGUCCUUGCCAACCUUUCCGAACUGAAGAAUGAUCUUGUCGUGGUCAGAAUGGGUAGGUUGGGCGGGCUGGGGAGGUGGCUGCG